ACGGGUGAGUAAUGCCUAGGAAUCUGCCUGGUAGUGGGGGAUAACGUUCGGAAACGGACGCUAAUACCGCAUACGUCCUACGGGAGAAAGCAGGGGACCUUCGGGCCUUGCGCUAUCAGAUGAGCCUAGGUCGGAUUAGCUAGUUGGUGGGGUAAUGGCUCACCAAGGCGACGAUCCGUAACUGGUCUGAGAGGAUGAUCAGUCACACUGGAACUGAGACACGGUCCAGACUCCUACGGGAGGCAGCAGUGGGGAAUAUUGGACAAUGGGCGAAAGCCUGAUCCAGCCAUGCCGCGUGUGUGAAGAAGGUCUUCGGAUUGUAAAGCACUUUAAGUUGGGAGGAAGGGCAGUUGCCUAAUACGUAACUGUUUUGACGUUACCGACAGAAUAAGCACCGGCUAACUCUGUGCCAGCAGCCGCGGUAAUACAGAGGGUGCAAGCGUUAAUCGGAAUUACUGGGCGUAAAGCGCGCGUAGGUGGUUUGUUAAGUUGGAUGUGAAAUCCCCGGGCUCAACCUGGGAACUGCAUUCAAAACUGACUGACUAGAGUAUGGUAGAGGGUGGUGGAAUUUCCUGUGUAGCGGUG
This 585-nucleotide ribosomal RNA is filed under the name Pseudomonas sp. StFLB099. Its description in RNAcentral is "bacterial SSU rRNA". It matches the Rfam family "Bacterial small subunit ribosomal RNA", at positions 102 to 683 of the family's 1533-position model. RNAcentral also lists the same sequence under 3 other names. The record is from RNAcentral. Lineage: Bacteria; Pseudomonadati; Pseudomonadota; Gammaproteobacteria; Pseudomonadales; Pseudomonadaceae.